This 232-nucleotide ribosomal RNA is filed under the name uncultured bacterium. RNAcentral's name for it is "partial 16S ribosomal RNA". It matches the Rfam family "Bacterial small subunit ribosomal RNA", at positions 102 to 334 of the family's 1533-position model. The record is from RNAcentral.
ACGGGUGAGUAACACGUAUCCAACCUGUCGUCUACUCUUGGACAGCCUUCUGAAAGGAAGAUUAAUACAAGAUGGCAUCAUGAGUCCACAUGUUCACAUGAUUAAAGGUAUUCCGGUAGACGAUGGGGAUGCGUUCCAUUAGAUAGUAGGCGGGGUAACGGCCCACCUAGUCUUCGAUGGAUAGGGGUUCUGAGAGGAAGGUCCCCCACAUUGGAACUGAGACACGGUCCAA